GCAGCCGCCGCGGUAAUACCGAGGGUGCGAGCGUUAAUCGGAUUUACUGGGCGUAAAGCGUGCGUAGGCGGCUUCUUAAGUCGGAUGUGAAAUCCCUGAGCUUAACUUAGGAAUUGCAUUCGAUACUGGGAAGCUAGAGUAUGGGAGAGGAUGGUAGAAUUCCAGGUGUAGCGGUGAAAUGCUUAGAAAUCUGGAGGAAUACCGAUGGCGAAGGCAGCCAUCUGGCCUAAUACUGACGCUGAGGUACGAAAGCAUGGGGAGCAAACAGGAUUAGAUACCCCCGUAGUCCCUGUCUCUUAUAC
RNAcentral lists this ribosomal RNA (302 nucleotides) under uncultured bacterium. Its description in RNAcentral is "partial 16S ribosomal RNA". It matches the Rfam family "Bacterial small subunit ribosomal RNA", at positions 508 to 807 of the family's 1533-position model. The record is from RNAcentral.